This is a non-coding RNA of Arachis ipaensis, 2416 nucleotides long. Lineage: Eukaryota; Viridiplantae; Streptophyta; Magnoliopsida; Fabales; Fabaceae. The record is from RefSeq and is a predicted model, not a curated record.
UGUGUAGCUGCACCUUUUGUCAUUGGCGGUGGAAAAUAAAAACACUUCCUCUUUCACUCUUCACAUAUUCUUAUUCAUAUUCAUAUUCCUAUAAAAAAAAAAAAGGAAAAAAUUUCCUCUCGAUUUCGAACUUCUCAAACCGUCUCUCUCUUUCUCUCAAUACAAACAAACGCGAUCUGUGUGCUGAUCCUUUCCUUUUACCAAACCAAACGCUUCGGAAUCUCGCCACUCUCAUUCCCUGGAUUCCACUCGCAAGGUCUUGAAGUUACAAACAGAGGAAACUUGAUAUUGUAAGUAAAUCAUUGCUAUACUUGGAGUUUUGGAGUAGUUUGCUAUGGAUCUUGCAAACAACACAGCAGGUGCUUCAGAAAGGCCUGCAAAACACAACGAAGGUGCUAUAGGAAGUCCUAUAAAUAAUAAAGCCAGUUAUGCAGGAAUUCCUUCAAACAAUGAAGUGGCCGGCACAGGAAUUCCUGUUACGGACCUUUCAGUUAGUUCAGCAAAUCCUGCAAAAGACGAACCAGGUGGUGCUAACCAUGUAAAUGACCAAGCUGAUAGUUCAGAAAAUCUUGCAAAGGACAAAUUAGAUGGUGCAGAAAAUUCUGAUGAAGACAAACCUGAUUCUCCCAUAAACCUUGUAAAUUACCGAUCAGGUGGUGCAGAAAAUCCACCAAAUGACAAAUUCAGUAGUGCAGAAAUGCCUGUGAAGGAACUAGCAGCUGGUAUAGGAACUCCUGUAGGUACUGCAGAAAGUCCUGUGAAGAGAAAAGAUGGUUCAGAAAAUCCUAUAAAUAAUACAAAAGGUGAUAUAGAAACUUCUGUACAUGACAAGGCAGAUUCUGCUGAAAAUGCUGUGGAUGACAAAACACGUGGCAUAGAAAAUCUUGUAAAUGAUAAAGCAGAUGAAGUAGAAAGUCCUUUAAACAAACAAGCAGAUGCUGCAGAAACUCCUGUAAAAGUCAAACAACUGGCUGCUGAAAACAUUGUAGAAUACAAAGCAGAUGCUGUUGAAUGCCCUGUAGACAGCAACAUAAAUCGUCUUCCAGCUGAAGCAAAGGAGAUAUUAAUAUCACUGGCAAGUAAAUGGGAGGAUGUGUUGGAUCCAAAUGCAUUGCAGGUGAUUCCUCUCAAAGGGGCAAUGACAAAUGUGGUAUUUCAGAUAAAGUGGAGAACUAAAGCUGGGGAAACAUCACGGAAGGUUCUAGUUAGAAUCUAUGGUGAGGGUGUUGACGUUUUCUUUGAUAGGCAUGAUGAGAUCCGGACAUUUGAAUUCAUGUCAAAACAUGGGCAGGGACCAUCUCUACUAGGACGGUUUGCAAAUGGUCGCGUCGAAGAAUUUAUCCACGCACGGACAUUAUCAGCAUCUGAUCUGCGUGAACCAUCAAUCUCUGCUCUUAUAGCAGCCAAAAUGAAGGAGUUCCACGAUCUUGACAUGCCUGGUGAAAAGAAAGUCCACCUUUGGGAUAGAUUACGAACAUGGCUUGGCGAGGCCAAACGUUUGUCAUCCCCUAAAGAAGUGGAGGCCUUUUAUUUGGACAUAAUUGACAGGGAAAUCUUUGUUUUGCAAAAUGAACUAUCAGGUGCUGCAAGCCAACGGAUAGGAUUUUGCCACAAUGAUUUGCAGUAUGGUAACAUAAUGCUUGAUGAAGAGACCAAUGCUGUCACCAUAAUAGAUUAUGAAUAUGCAAGUUAUAAUCCUGUAGCAUAUGACAUAGCAAACCACUUCUGUGAGAUGGCUGCUAACUAUCAUACAGAAACACCUCAUAUUCUCAACUACAAGAACUAUCCUGAUCUUGAGGAGCGUAGAAGAUUUGUGAACACAUAUUUGAGUUCCUCAGUUAUUGGACCUGGGCGCAGGUGCGCAACCAAAUGGCAGUGAAGUGGAGGAUCUACUUCAAGAAAUUGAGAAGUAUACACUUGCAAAUCAUAUUUUCUGGGGCGUUUGGGGAAUAAUUUCGGCUCAAGUAAACAAAAUUGAUUUCAACUACAAGGAGUAUGCGAAACAGAGGUUUCAAGAAUACUGGACAAGGAAACCUUAUCUUUUAAGCCAUGAUGCUCCCUCUCCUUAUAAUGCACCUUCUCCUUAUAACAAUCCUGCCGAGGGUACAGGUAUUUUGAUUUGAUUUGAUUGAUUUUUUAUUUUUUAUUUUUUUUUGUAUUUUUGAAACGUUAAAUAGAAUCAAUAGCUUGUCACCUACGGAACAGAUAGUAUUUUCUUGAUGUGAUUUUAAAGUGUAUGUUGAAGUUCGUUGUUUUUGUUUUUGACUUAGAAGAUUGUUAGUUGAGGUGAAUAGUUUUUCAGUGUUGCAAGCCACAACAAAUAACAGUAUUGUAUCUGUAAUUCAAGUGUGAUUCAUGACGUUAGAGAGUAAACAAAAACACAAUUUGUUUAGUAUUUUCUGAAAUAUUUAUUCAU